GCCUCUUAGCUCAAUGGCUGAGCUUUGCCUUUAAGAGCCACAGGUCGGUGGUUCGAGCCCACCAGGGCA
Transfer RNA from Phytophthora infestans T30-4, 69 nucleotides. It matches the Rfam family "tRNA". Rfam says of the family: Transfer RNA (tRNA) molecules are approximately 80 nucleotides in length. Their secondary structure includes four short double-helical elements and three loops (D, anti-codon, and T loops). Lineage: Eukaryota; Oomycota; Peronosporomycetes; Peronosporales; Peronosporaceae. The record is from Rfam.